UACGUAGGUGGCGAGCGUUAUCCGGAUUUACUGGGCGUAAAGAGCGCGCAGGCGGUCGUUCAAGUCGAGUGUGAAAGCCCCCGGCUCAACUGGGGAAGGUCAUUCGAUACUGAUCGACUCGAAGGCAGGAGAGGGAAGUGGAAUUCCCGGUGUAGUGGUGAAAUGCGUAGAUAUCGGGAGGAACACCAGUGGCGAAGGCGACUUCCUGGCCUGUUCUUGACGCUGAGGCGCGAAAGCUAGGGGAGCAAACGGG
RNAcentral lists this ribosomal RNA (253 nucleotides) under uncultured bacterium. RNAcentral's name for it is "partial 16S ribosomal RNA". It matches the Rfam family "Bacterial small subunit ribosomal RNA", at positions 524 to 776 of the family's 1533-position model. The record is from RNAcentral.